Molecule: RNA transcript, 2735 nt
Organism: Phyllopteryx taeniolatus (common seadragon)
Lineage: Eukaryota; Metazoa; Chordata; Actinopteri; Syngnathiformes; Syngnathidae
Gene: cdc27
Gene name: cell division cycle 27
Exons: 20
Source: RefSeq, a predicted model, not a curated record
GACAAUAACUUCCUUUGCGUUCCCUUCUCACUUCCGGUCUGCGCUCUGCAUUCUUCGGCUGACUUCGGCCGCUAACGGUCGGAAUGUUCAAAUCGUGCUGGAGCCUGAGGUAAAGAAGAAAGAAACGACAGUAGAGACGGAAUGACGGUGCUGCAGGAACCCGUCCAGGCUGCAGUGUGGCAAGCGCUGAACCACUACGCCUACCUGGAUGCCAUUUUUCUUGCGGAAAGACUGUACGCUGAAGUGAGGUCGGAGGAGGCCCUGUACCUUUUGGCAACAUGUUACUAUCGCUCGGGGAAGCCUUACAAGGCGUACCGGCUGCUGAAGGCUCACAGUUCGUCCACGCCGCAGGUUCGCUUCCUGUUGGCCAAGUGCUGCGUGGAGCUCAGCAAGUUGGCUGAAGGUGAGCAGGUUCUGAUUGGUGGCGUGCUCAACAAACAGAAGAGUCAAGAUGACCUCAUCACAGAGUUCGGCGACUCGGCCUCCUUCACGCUGUCGUUGCUGGGACACAUUUACUGCAAGACGGAUCGUGCUGCGAAAGGUGCCGAGUGCUUCCGGAGAAGUUUGUCACUGAACCCGUUCCUGUGGUCGCCUUUUCAGAACCUUUGUCUCCUAGGUGAUAAAGUAGAUGCAGAUCAGGUCUUCAGAUUGUCCUCUUUGCAGCAUUGUUCAGUAGCCCCACUGCCCCCCUCUGUAAGCCCCGCACAGAACUCCUCACAUCGCCUGGACACAGCCUUCAUGGAGACGCCUCAACACACAUUGGAGUUAAAUCGUUUGAAUUUAGAAUCGUCAAACGGGAAGCAGACAUCUGAUUUGUCGCUUUCCUACAUCGACUCCUCCCUCAUCUCCCCGGAGACUGGCUCCCUGUUGGGAAAUCCCGUUUCCCUAGCGUCAGCCGCCUCCUUAUUGGCUAAACAGAACAAGCCCAAGAGUGGGCGGAGUUUACUGGGAGGACCCAAUUCACUCAGUCCGCUCACACCCAGUUUUGGCAUCUUGCCCUUGGAGCCCAGCCCGGGCGACCCAACAUAUCUGCAGAACUACUCAUCCAGCAUGGAAACACAAUCCACUGCUUCAAGCAAGAAGACUGUGUCCAGGAUGAAUCAGUCCAAGACUGUGUUCAGCCAGAGCGGGAAUAGUCGCGAUGUUCUCCCCAUGCCCUUUAACCCUUCUCAGACCUCAGCCCCUCACACCAGUGGUUCCCCUCAGGUGCUCAGUCCCAGCAUGUCUGCUCCUCCCAACAUUCAGCCCAGAAGGAGCUCACGACUCUUCACCAGCGCCAGCUCCACUGCCAAGGAGAACAGUAAGAAGUUAAAGAUGAAGUUCCCCACAAAGAUUCCCAACAGGAAAACCAAAUGUAAAUCGACAAAGACCUCAAACAGCAGCAACCUGAACGAGAGCCUGGAUAUUCUUCGUUUGGAUCCGGCGGGUCUGAGUCUGGCUGACGCCAAGGUGCCGCAGCACCAGAGAGCCGCGGCAGACAAUGUGCUGGCACUGCUUCGGGAACUGGGCCGCGGCUACCAGGCUCUGUGCUCGUACAACUGUCGAGAAGCCAUCGCGAUCCUGACCUCGCUCCCGCCACAGCACUACAACACAGGCUGGGUCCUGACGCACAUCGGCCGCGCCUACUUCGAGCUGGCUGAGUACACGCAGGCGGAGCGUCUGUUCAGCGAGGUGCGCAGGAUGGAGUCUUACCGGGUGGAGGGCAUGGAAAUCUAUUCAACCACCUUGUGGCACCUUCAGAAAGAUGUUGCCCUGUCCGCUUUGUCCAAAGACCUGACGGACAUGGACAAGAACUGUCCCGAGGCCUGGUGUGUCGCAGGAAACUGUUUCAGUCUGCAGAGGGAGCACGACAUUGCUAUUAAAUUCUUUCAGAGAGCCAUCCAGGUGGACCCAGGCUUCGCGUACGCCUACACUCUGCUGGGUCACGAGUUCGUCAUGACGGAGGAGCUGGAGCGAGCGCUCGCUUGCUUCCGCAACGCCAUCAGAGUCAGCAACAGACACUACAACGCAUGGUACGGUCUGGGGAUGAUCUACUUCAAGCAGGAGAAGUUCAACUUGGCAGAAAUCCACUUCAGGAAAGCUCUCAGCAUCAACCCGCAGAGCUCCGUACUGCUCUGCCACGUCGGAGUGGUGCAGCAUGCGCUGAAGAAGUCUGACGCGGCUUUAGAGACAUUGAACAAAGCGAUCGGGAUCGACCCAAAGAAUCCUCUCUGCAAGUUCCACAGGGCAUCCAUCCUCUUUGCCAACGACAAAUACAAGGCAGCUCUUCAAGAGCUGGAGGAGUUGAAGCAGAUCGUCCCCAAAGAGUCGCUGGUUUAUUUUCUCAUCGGCAAGAAACUUCCCGUCCAAGACAGGAUGUUGUGAUGACACGAGGAGAAACCGUACCCAGCACCUCCCGACUGGAUAAACGGGCACGAAUCGCUUCAAGACUAUAGCCGAAGCUAACGCCGCUGCCUUAAUAGGGUCAUAUGAGCGGUAGUGGGACCACGUAAUGGCGGCGAGGAACAAGGGCAAGCGACACAUAGUGAAGCUUCAUCGCCAGGUUAUUAUGUCCAAUAAAGUGUGGACAACUAUGUGCUAACGAGGACGUUAUUUAUCAAAAAAAGUGUACAAGAAACUGGGUCAGACUCAUCUGGCACUCAUGAACUUCAGCUGGGCCAUGGAUCUGGACCCCAAAGGAGCAAACAACCAGAUCAAAGAAGCCAUUGAUAAAAGAUACUUGCCUGAGGACGAAG